RNAcentral lists this ribosomal RNA (406 nucleotides) under uncultured bacterium. RNAcentral describes it as "partial 16S ribosomal RNA". It matches the Rfam family "Bacterial small subunit ribosomal RNA", at positions 29 to 526 of the family's 1533-position model. The record is from RNAcentral.
AUUGAACGCUGGCGGCAGGCCUAACACAUGCAAGUCGAGCGAGCGGCGGACGGGUGAGUAAUGUCUGGGAAACUGCCUGAUGGAGGGGGAUCACUACUGGAAACGGUAGCUAAUACCGCAUACCAUCAGCUGUGCCCAGAUGGGAUUAGCUAGUAGGUGGGGUAACGGCUCACCUAGGCGACGAUCCCUAGCGGGUCUGAGAGGCUGACCAGCCACACUGGGACGGAGACACGGUCCAGACUCCUACGGGAGGCAGCAGGGGGGAAUAUUGCACAAGGGGCGCGAGCCUGAUGCAGCCAUGCCGCGUGUGUGAAGAAGGCCUUCGGGUUGUAAAGCACUUUCAGCGGGGAGGCGUGACCAACAGAAUAAGCACCGGCUAACUUCGUGCCAGCCGCCGCGGUAAUAC